GGUCCGGGGAAUGGCGCUGAGAUGGGGAACGGUCUGGAGCGGCCGAGGGAGCUGCGGGUGUUUAGCCCGGAGAAGAAGGGUCUUGGGGGCACCUUAACACUCUCUACAACUCCUGACAGGAGGCGGUAGCCAGGUGGGGGUCGGCCGCUUCUCCCAGGCAACGGGAUGAGAGGACAAAGCCUUAAACUGCACGUGGGAGUUUAGGUUGUACUUCAGGAGGAAUUUCCUCACAGAAAGGGUGAUUAGAUGUUGGAACGGGCUGCCCAGCGAGAUGGAGUUGGAUGAUGGAUCCCUUCGAGAUGUUUAAGGAAAGGCUGGACCUGGCUCUUUGUGCCACGGCCUGGCUGAUGGCGUAGGUCGGACUCGAUGAUCUCAGAGGCCUGUUCCAACCGAAUGGAUUCUGAGUGACUCUGUGAUUACCAUCACUAUUACCAUUAUCACCAUUGUUGCCGUCAGUCACACUCUGCUCUUUAGGCCUGAGCCUCAAGCGUUGUCCCUCAAGUGAGCUGGGAAGGCUCUUCCUGGGCCUGUGCUUGGAUUGAAAAAAAGCAUUUCUCGUGGUCCUUGCAUGUCUGCUCGUGUGUGGGUCAACCAGGAGAAGGUGAUGAUGUCUGAACAGCCUUGAAGUCAGCAACAGAAGUUGUACCACUGAUGGAACAACCACGUGAUACCUCACAACUCUAAAAAGAUGUGUAACAUCAAUUUGUGACACACCCAUGGCAGUCUUCAGAAUACAAGCUAAAUCCUCUUCUGUUACAGU
Long non-coding RNA from Ficedula albicollis (Collared flycatcher), 760 nucleotides. RefSeq lists it as uncharacterized. The record is from RefSeq and is a predicted model, not a curated record. Lineage: Eukaryota; Metazoa; Chordata; Aves; Passeriformes; Muscicapidae. The transcript has 3 exons.